UAGUUUAAUAGGUUAAAACGGCUUACUUGUAAUAAGCUAAUAGCGGUUCGAGUCCGGU
Molecule: transfer RNA, 58 nt
Filed under: Coniophora puteana RWD-64-598 SS2
Lineage: Eukaryota; Fungi; Basidiomycota; Agaricomycetes; Boletales; Coniophoraceae
Rfam family: tRNA
About the family: Transfer RNA (tRNA) molecules are approximately 80 nucleotides in length.
Source: Rfam by way of RNAcentral